This 1498-nucleotide long non-coding RNA is filed under the name Mus pahari (shrew mouse). RNAcentral describes it as "lncRNA (MGP_PahariEiJ_G0012564.1)". The record is from RNAcentral. Lineage: Eukaryota; Metazoa; Chordata; Mammalia; Rodentia; Muridae.
GGGCUUUGGGUGUGCUGGAGGUGAAAGCCAGGCAGUGCCCAGAUACCUCACUGGAUACUGUGCGGUGGGACAGCUCCACCGGGCUGCGAGUGUCGGCGCUGUAGCUACAGUGGAGCGUUUCCUCACGUUCCGGGUAAACGGUGUCAACGACCCAGACAAGAGGAACAGAACUGCGUUGCACUAUGCUUGUGCACAUGGCCACCUGGGGGUGGUAACUCUUCUAAUAGAGAGGAACUGCAACAUUAAUGCCUGCGAUGAUGACAACUGCACACCUCUAAUUAAGGCCUCACAGCAUCAGCAUGGGGACUGUGUGGCUGCCUUGCUACAACAUGGCGCGGAUCCCAAUACUGUGGAUGCUCUCGGAAACACUGCCCUCCACUACGCAGUGCACAGUGGAAACACAUUCAUAGCUUCCCAGCUCCUUGAACACAGUGCAGACAUUGAAGCCAAAACAAAGGAGUGAACCUGCCACACAUUUGAUGGAAACGAACAGAAGUGAAAGUAAAAGCUAUUUUCCUGGAGAUUCCAUGCCAAUGUUUGACAAGUGUGCUGCAGACACAAGUGCUAUGCUACAGGAGAAACAGAGCUGUGCUCACCAACUCCAUCAGGAUGGACAAAGCCCUGCAAAGAGCACAUCUAAAGAAAAGCACGAGGCCAAGAAGCAAAUCAAUGGUAUGGAAGGCCUGGAAGAUGGGACUCUGCCUUGGGAAGCAGCCUCAGAUGACUUUGCAGGAGGCACAGUUGCAAGAAGAACCACAGAGAGAAGGUGUCCUGAGUUCUGCAAGAAUGGAACAUCUGCUAUGGAAGUAUGACUUAAAGCCGAAUGCAAAAUACCUUAAAUAUUUGUAAAUCUGAUCAGCGAUGUAGUGUGGUGAUUAUGCUGGCUGUGGCAAUAAACUCACCCCUGUUAAGCCAUAGAGACUUUAUGUUAUGUGCAAUGCCUAAUUUCAGGCUGGGAUUUAAGUCAGUGCUAUGUUAUGUAAUUUCCAUGGUCACAACUCUGAAUUCCACCAUCUUUCUUUUCAGUUUCUUAAGAAUGGAAUCAUUAAGAAUUGAAAAUAAUUAGUUAUUCUGUAAAAUACCUUAUAGGCUGGAAGUUGAGUGUCUCAAGUUAGAAGACUCAGUAAAGAACCAAGCAGAAGAAAUUGAAGAGAUUGAGAAUCAACUGUUAAGAGACGAUUUGGUAAAUCAGUCUCCUAUUCAUUUCUGCCACCAUAAAGAGAAAACUUCCUGUCCUCAGUGCUACUUUAGUGGGAAAAUGUUAGGAAACAGGAAAGGGUUAAUGACAAAAAUUUCUGUGUUCAUAGUGACAAUUUAUGUAAGAGUGCAAGUCCUCUUGACUUAACAGAAGAAUUUGAUUGAAUCCAUAGAAUUAAUGAUUUGUGCAGCAUUUCAUGAAUGUUGGGUUUCAGCUGUCAAAAUCUUGUCUAGAAAGACCUUUACAUGUACACAUUACCAGACACAGACACUUGUAAACACAUAAUUAAAAAUAUUUUAA